This 1069-nucleotide long non-coding RNA is filed under the name Camarhynchus parvulus. Its description in RNAcentral is "lncRNA (ENSCPVG00000004688.2)". Lineage: Eukaryota; Metazoa; Chordata; Aves; Passeriformes; Thraupidae. The record is from RNAcentral.
AUUGGGGGAAAUCGGUGAAAAUUGCGGGAAAUUGGUGAAAAUUGGUGGAAAUCGGUGAAAAUUGGAGGAAAAUUGGUGAAAACUGGGGGAAAUCGGUGAAAAUUGGGGGAAAAUUGGUGAAAAUUGGGGGAAAUCGGGGAAAAUUGGGGGUUUGGGGACACCUGGGCGCACCCGUGGGCGUGUCCCCGCCCAUAUUUGGCCACACCCAUGGGCGUGUCCCCGGCCUGACCCCGCCCCUUUCCCCAGGAUGCUGCAGCCGGUGCCGAAGGCGGAGCCUCGGGCGGUUCUGCUCCUCCCCGCCCCUCGCCCCGCCCCCGGGGGCGUGGCCUCGCCGAGCCCGGCCCCCUCCGCGCCAAGCCCCGCCCUCACCGCGCCAGCCCCCCCUUUGCUGGUACAAGCGCCGCCUCUCGUCACCCUAAGCCACGCCCCCAGCGCUGGCCCCGCCCCCUUGGUGACGACGCAAGGGGCGGGGCUUAACCUGGGGCUGGGAUUGGCGCUGGCCCCGCCCAGAGCCACGCCCACUCUGCUGGCUCCGCCCCCCGGAGGGCCCGCACAUGCUCUCCCGGCUGCUUCCUUGGCCACGCCCACUCCGGCGGGAGGCCCCGCCCCCGUGGCCACGCCCACCCCGAAUAUGGGCAAAGGGGCGGGGCCGGCCCCGCCCCCUCCCGUGGGGGGCGUGGCCACCUUCGCGCUGCCCCAGCGGCUCCUGCUGGCCCCGGACAUGCAGGCCCGGCUGCCCUCGGGAGAAGUCGUCAGCCUCGGCCAACUGGCCGCCCUGGCCCAGCACCGCCCCUCCCCGCCGGGGGGCGUGGCCAAAACCUCGCCCCUCCCACCUGCUGCCGUGGCCACGCCCCCCGCGGCCUCGGCCCCGCCCCCUCUGACGCUGCAGCUCCAGGGCAGCAAAGUCACGCUUGGCCCCGCCCCCCCAUUACGUCACCUGGCCUUGGCCCGGCCCCCCGGCCGGGGGCUCGCACGUGAGUCCAAAAUUUGGGGGAAAUUCGGGGAAUUUUGGGGAAUUUGGGGAAAAAAUUGGGAAUUUUUGGGAGUUCUGAGAACUUUAGGAAAAAAA